This is a long non-coding RNA of Bos taurus (domestic cattle), 544 nucleotides long. The record is from Ensembl. Lineage: Eukaryota; Metazoa; Chordata; Mammalia; Artiodactyla; Bovidae.
AGGGAACUGGAAAGUGGAGGAGCUGAAAGCAGUCUGCAUGGAUGAUGCUGUAACCUCUCUGGGCAGCUCUGUGCCCACCUGAGCUGGGCUAGGCUGUGGAGGAACAGAUGGCACGUGCCAGUCUCGAUGACCUCUCCAUUUACUUCACACUGACUGAGCACCCACCAUGUACCAAGCCCCAUGCUGCCAGCCUUGCUAACAGUCUAGUCUGGGAGAAACUUCAAUAGAAGCCUCCUUUUGGAGCUUCACUUUCAGAAAAAGCAGAAAACAAAGUGUGGAGUCAGUCCCCCUGGGCCUGGACCCACAGGAUGACGGAGACGUUACCAGAGCUGAUGAUUCAACUUCCUGCCUUUUGAGAGCACCCAGACCACAGAAGUCUUCUUGCUUGGAGGAGGGGGUGUCUCACUGCUGAGGGCCAAGCAGGGUGGGACAAGGCCCCACCACAAACCACAAGACAAGGCAGUGCAUGGGGCAGGCUCUAAGGGGCCAUUCUGGAACCCUGGCCAGCUGCUUCCUGCUACCAUCUCUUUGGGUGAUUGAUUAC